This 508-nucleotide ribosomal RNA is filed under the name uncultured Erythrobacter sp. Its description in RNAcentral is "bacterial SSU rRNA". It matches the Rfam family "Bacterial small subunit ribosomal RNA", at positions 100 to 643 of the family's 1533-position model. The record is from RNAcentral. Lineage: Bacteria; Pseudomonadati; Pseudomonadota; Alphaproteobacteria; Sphingomonadales; Erythrobacteraceae.
GCACGGGUGCGUAACGCGUGGGAACCUGCCCUUAGGUUCGGAAUAACUCAGAGAAAUUUGAGCUAAUACCGGAUAAUGUCUUCGGACCAAAGAUUUAUCGCCUUUGGAUGGGCCCGCGUAGGAUUAGAUAGUUGGUGGGGUAAUGGCCUACCAAGUCGACGAUCCUUAGCUGGUCUGAGAGGAUGAUCAGCCACACUGGGACUGAGACACGGCCCAGACUCCUACGGGAGGCAGCAGUGGGGAAUAUUGGACAAUGGGCGAAAGCCUGAUCCAGCAAUGCCGCGUGAGUGAUGAAGGCCUUAGGGUUGUAAAGCUCUUUUACCAGGGAUGAUAAUGACAGUACCUGGAGAAUAAGCUCCGGCUAACUCCGUGCCAGCAGCCGCGGUAAUACGGAGGGAGCUAGCGUUGUUCGGAAUUACUGGGCGUAAAGCGCACGUAGGCGGCUUUUCAAGUCAGGGGUGAAAUCCCGGGGCUCAACCCCGGAACUGCCCUUGAAACUGGAUGGCUA